CCUACGGGUGGCAGCAGUCGAGAAUCAUUCACAAUGGGGGAAACCCUGAUGGUGCGACGCCGCGUGGGGGAAUGAAGGUCUUCGGAUUGUAAACCCCUGUCAUGUGGGAGCAAAUUAAAAAGAUAGUACCACAAGAGGAAGAGACGGCUAACUCUGUGCCAGCAGCCGCGGUAAUACAGAGGUAUCAAGCGUUGUUCGGAAUCACUGGGCGUAAGGCGUGCGUAGGCUGUUUCGUAAGUCGUGUGUGAAAGGCGCGGGCUCAACCCGCGGACGGCACAUGAUACUGCGAGACUAGAGUAAUGGAGGGGGAACCGGAAUUCUCGGUGUAGCAGUGAAAUGCGUAGAUAUCGAGAGGAACACUCGGGGCGAAGGCGGGUUCCUGGACAUUAACUGACGCUGAGGCACGAAGGCCAGGGGAGCGAAAGGGAUUAGAUACCCUGGUAGUC
RNAcentral lists this ribosomal RNA (446 nucleotides) under uncultured bacterium. Its description in RNAcentral is "partial 16S ribosomal RNA". It matches the Rfam family "Bacterial small subunit ribosomal RNA", at positions 338 to 795 of the family's 1533-position model. The record is from RNAcentral.